This 402-nucleotide ribosomal RNA is filed under the name uncultured bacterium. RNAcentral's name for it is "bacterial SSU rRNA". It matches the Rfam family "Bacterial small subunit ribosomal RNA", at positions 355 to 775 of the family's 1533-position model. The record is from RNAcentral.
UGGGGAAUAUUGCACAAUGGGCGAAAGCCUGAUGCAGCAACGCCGCGUGAGCGAUGAAGGCCUUCGGGUCGUAAAGCUCUGUCCCAAGGGAAGAUAAUGACGGUACCUUGGGAGGAAGCCCCGGCUAACUACGUGCCAGCAGCCGCGGUAAUACGUAGGGGGCAAGCGUUAUCCGGAAUCACUGGGCGUAAAGGGUGCGUAGGCGGUCUUGCAAGCCAGAGGUGAAAGGCUAUGGCUCAACCAUAGUGAGCCUUUGGAACUGCCGGACUUGAGUACAGGAGAGGAAAGUGGAAUUCCUAGUGUAGCGGUGAAAUGCGUAGAUAUUAGGAGGAACACCAGUGGCGAAGGCGACUUUCUGGACUGUUACUGACGCUGAGGCACGAAAGCGUGGGGAGCGAACAG